GACGAACGCUGGCGGCGUGCUUAACACAUGCAAGUCGAGGGAGUGGCGGGGCAACUCGCCACGACCGGCGAACGGGUGCGUAACACGUGAGCGACCUACCCUGGUGUGGGGGAGUAGCCGGCCCAACGGACCGGGUAAGUACCGCAUGCGCUUGUGUGGCCACAUGGCCGGACAAGCAAAGUCUUCGGACGCGACUGGGAGGGGCUCGCGGCCUAUCAGCUUGUUGGCGGGGUAAUGGCCCACCAAGGCGACGACGGGUAGCUGUCUGAGAGGAUGGCCAGCCACA
Molecule: ribosomal RNA, 286 nt
Filed under: uncultured bacterium
Lineage: Bacteria
Description: partial 16S ribosomal RNA
Rfam family: Bacterial small subunit ribosomal RNA
Source: RNAcentral